Molecule: long non-coding RNA, 1142 nt
Organism: Colossoma macropomum (tambaqui)
Lineage: Eukaryota; Metazoa; Chordata; Actinopteri; Characiformes; Serrasalmidae
Exons: 5
Source: RefSeq, a predicted model, not a curated record
CUCACGCAACACAUUCAGCCGGCAGACGAACACCGUCACGCAUGGUUCUGAUGCGACUUCACACCGCCGACUAACUUAACCAGGUUUGUCAGCAAGUGUCUUAGCUAGCUGACAGAUGCAAAGCCAGUAGCUCAAAUAUAGUUGCUCUGAAUGUGAAGGUGUAUCUAUGAGGUGAAACUAACGAAAGUCUUGAGGAGGAAAGGCAAGCUCUUACACUGGAGGUGAAGAACAACUAACAGCUAAUCCAAAGUGAAGCAGGCAGCAGGACACAAUAUCAGCCUUAUCAUGGCAGCCAUGGACAAGGGUAUUGAUCUUGGUGCAGUGAGAGGAAUGGAGAAGGAAUGGUUUUGGGCAUCUACUUUGUCUGACACAAGGGAGCAGACUCUACAGAUCCACCUGAGGAUGUUGGCAUCAUUAAAAUAUGCACAGUGCUGCAAGAUCUGGGAGAUUUGGCAAAUGGGUGUGCAGUCCUGCUUGGCUUGAUCUAUAGUUUAAACUUGAGCUAUCCCAAGGUUCUGCAAUACACAUUUGAAUUUCUUUAAAGUGUUGAUGGAAUUGGAUGGGAACAAGCUCUCCAGUACAGUACAGGUCCUCAACAACAAACUGUGUGACUUCUGUUGACUCUUGGGCAAAGAAAUAAACUGUGACUAGCUUUGAAUUUUGGAGCAGUGCUGGACAAGGAGAUGAAUCUAAAGAACAAAUUUUGCUUGAUUGCAGUUAUUACAAUGUUUCAAGUUUUUUUAGCUGUCAUACAUGUUUGAAUUUCUUCAGAAAGUGAUGGCUUUGUAUAGGAACAAGCUUUUGAUUUAAGGCGCAAGUCCUUGAAAACUUCUGUUGACUCUUACUUGGGCAGCGUUACUUGUCUUUGGAUUUUGGACUGCUGCUGGACAAAACAAUCAGCAGUGUAAAGAGGUGUUGGGUUUUUUUUUUUGGUAAUUGCUGUUUCAAGUUCAGCCUUGAGCAUGUGUAAAUUGAGCAACUUUUGUUUUCUGAAUACUUGCUGGACCAUAAAACUUCAAAAAUUAAAGACAAAAAACAGUUUUGAUAUUGUUGGUUAUCUCACCCAUAAAUGUGAAGAGAUUCACAAACCUCUUUUAAAAUAAACCUUUUUAAAUUAAUUUAAUCUUUGUAUUUUGAUCUAC